Molecule: long non-coding RNA, 18307 nt
Filed under: Vitis vinifera (wine grape)
Lineage: Eukaryota; Viridiplantae; Streptophyta; Magnoliopsida; Vitales; Vitaceae
Description: long non-coding RNA (VVIN_LNC000606)
Source: RNAcentral
AAUGGCCUAGAGAGCUCCAAGCUGAUCUUGAAGACUAAAGUUGAUGGCAAGCAUACAUUUGGCCCUGCUGGAAAACUGAAGUUCUCACCAGCUACCUGCACUUCAGCCUUCUUAUGGCCUUACUACAAGCACCCGCAGCUUCCCAAAGUCUCAUGGCCCAAAUUGCCACCCUAUUCCAAAUCUCAUCCAUGGUAUAAGCCCAUGCCCAAGAUCUACCUUCCACCUAUCAAAUUUCCUCCACUCCCGCCAAAGGUCUAUCCUCCUUUCACAUUUCCUCCACUCCCUCCAAAAGUCUUCCCUCCACCAGUGCCAAUCUAUAAGAAACCGCUACCACCCCCUGUGCCAGUGUACAAGAAGCCAUUACCACCCCCAGUACCAGUAUACAAGAAGCCGUUACCACCCCCCGUACCAGUAUACAAGAAGCCGCUUCCACCCCCAGUGCCAAUAUACAAGAAGCCGCUUCCACCCCCAGUGCCAAUAUACAAGAAGCCGCUCCCACCCCCAGUGCCAAUAUACAAGAAGCCGCUCCCACCCCCAGUGCCAAUAUACAAGAAGCCGCUCCCACCCCCAGUGCCAAUAUACAAGAAGCCGCUCCCACCCCCAGUGCCAGUAUACAAGAAGCCGCUCCCACCCCCAGUGCCAGUAUACAAGAAGCCGCUCCCACCCCCAGUGCCAGUAUACAAGAAGCCGCUCCCACCCCCAGUGCCAAUAUACAAGAAGCCACUACCACCCCCAGUGCCAAUAUACAAGAAGCCACUACCACCCCCAGUGCCAGUGUACAAGAAGCCGCUUCCCCCACCUGUUCCAGUUUAUAAGAAGCCACUUCCUCCACCUGUUCCAGUUUAUAAGAAGCCACUUCCUCCGCCAGUCCCAGUAUAUAAGAAGCCGUGUCCUCCAGAAAUUCCUAAGAUCCUUCCACCACCAAUACCAAUAUACAAAAAGCCGCUUCCACCUUUUGUUCCAAUCUACAAGCCAAUUCCACCUAUCUCCAAACCUCUUCCUCCAUUUCCUCCAAUUUAUAAGAAGCCAUGGCCACCCAUUCCUCAAGUCCCUCUUCCUAAAUUUCCUCCUGUCCACAAGUUUCCUCCAAAGUACUUCCACCACCCCAAGUUUGGAUUUGGUUCUCCUGUACCACCUUAUUCUUCUCAUCCAUAGGUUAUCCUAGUUUACUUUUCAUGAUCAUUGUUUCAUAAGGAAGAGGUUGGCAUGCAUUGUUGGUACUAGAAUAAGUUAAGCCUCCAUGGUAGAGAGUACUUGAGAGUGGGAGAAAGACAAAACCUGAAUCGUUGUUAAUUAUUUCCAGUAAUGAAAUGAAUAUGUAUGUGUGGAUUGUUCUUAUUAUCACAUUAUGGCCUCUGAACCUUGUAAAUGUUCUAUGGUCUGUGAAUGCAUCUAUGGAAUAUUAAUAUGUUCACUUAAAUGAAAACAAUAGUAUUUUCACUUUCAUUUCAUCUGAAAAUUUCACUUUAAAAAAUGCAUUACCACUUUGUUUUGAUCUCCAUAUUCAUGAAUGUAUUCUGCAGAAAUCGUAAUUUUCUUAUUGAUUUACAAGACUCUCAAGAAUAUUCACAAGAAGAGAAUAAUAAUAUAAAAGAGCUUUGAUAGACUGAAGGUUAUCCUUGGGCACCUGAUAAACCAAUUCAUCAACCUGCCAUUUUUCCAUUUACCAAAGAAGCUAGUCAGAAUACAGAGGUUGUUUUGUCUAGUAAGGUAAGCAAACUCUCACCACGACCGACUAACAACGGGCAACCCAGUUAUGAUAUUAGCAUCUUGGGAUUUUUUCUCUACAAGGCCCUUAAUUGGGUUCAUAUAUGGACCCCAGAAUGUUUGUACUCAUUAAGCUUUUCUUUUAUUGAAAAAAAUCACAAUUAGAUCUCAUGUUGUGAAUUAAAAAUGGCAGGUUGACAAUUAAAUGUGGUGAUAAUCCUUGUUUUCUUUUGCCUGUUCAUUAAUUGCUCUGUUAAAAUUGCAGAAUGAUUUGAAAUACCCAUUAGAUUGCCCUGGUGAUACUUUUAUUAGUUGCACCAAAUCUGAAACCGAAUACUGAGCAAACCCUUAUGGAAAAAUUAAUAAGCAGUCCAACCUAAGUGUAGGCUUCUCAGGGGAAAGCUCAACUUACCUUGGAUACAAUAACAGAAAGAAUAGAACAAAUUCGUCCUUACAACACAUGAAAGAGAGUGACCAAAAGAGUGUCCUCCCACCAGAAUGGCUGGUGAAACAUUAUGACAACAACAGAAAUUUUACAUGUUCACAACAUAGCUGUGUGGUUCAUAUAGCAGCAUUUGUUAGGCAAAUUAAUUAUGUGUUCAUGGAACAAGCAACAUGAGAUCUGUCAAGGAACAAUGGUAACAAAAAUCAACAGUAAAGUACAGUCCAGAGUUUUACCAAAAGCAUAAGCAUUUCAGCAAUUCAGCUUUCUAUAAAAGCAAAAUUUAAAGUAUGCUGGUAAGUAGGUUUACAGAUAAUAUAAACUGCAGAUGUGCAGUGGAGAGCUGAUUCAAAGAAGUGAAUGGCCUUAAAUUGAUUAAAAAAAACUGGUGAGGCUGUUACUGUUUUUCUCUCCCCUAUUACACAAAUCAUAAUAAAGGGUAUCUAACCUCAUGUAUGGCCCUAAAGCAUGGUGUUGGUGAGCCCAUUAAAUCGAUUCCUCAAGAUCAUUAUACAACAAGGUCUUUAAAUCUCAAGGGCCUAAGUCAAUGAAGCUUAACAUCAACCUAUAGAAGCUCAUGGCUUCUUCAUUUCAUUGUCUUUUCAAUUUUUUUGUUUGUCAUUAUAAUAGGGGAUCAUAAGGGGGCUAGGAUUCCCAAUAUGGACACAACCUAUAUGUGAAAGGGGCACUUCUCGGCCUCUGGGUGGCACUGCUAUUUUCUGUGAGCUUCUGCCAUUGCAAUGUGCAGAUUGUGCAGAGAGUAAUAUUAACACCAGCCAAGCCUUAUCAGGUAUGUUAUUUUCAAGCUACCAUAUACAGAUUUGUCUUGUCCUGUGAUGGGCACAUGGUCAAUUUUAAGUGUCUAGGGUUGUCCUUGCCAUAUGCUGCAAUGCUAUGCCAUGUUUUCCUGCAUACAAUUCUUUCAAGACUUCCAAAUAUCAUUUCCUUGGGCAUAGUUGAUCCAUGGGCCUGUCUUUAAGAUUCCUAACGCAGAUAUGAAGGCCUUGUGGUCUUUUAUGUUCCAAGGAUGUGACAAUGACAAUGGCAAUAUACUGUAUUUAUAUUCAUGAUCCAAAUGCUCUACAAGUCCCAUUAUCCUUCCUCUGUCAAUUUCAGCAGUUUUUGUAUGAAAAUAGGAUGGUUGAAAGUAAGAAAUUCACCGCUCCAAACCUGCUCCUCAAGCCAGUGAAUGUUUGACAUUGAAAGCUGUUGUUAACAUCUAAGGCUGCAAUGCCCAAAUCUAAUACGAGCCCAGGUCUGAACAAUUAAUAUUGAAGAACUUAUCCAUUGUUUUCUGUAGGCCUUGGCUUAACCAUUGACUGCAAGCUAGAAAAUGGAGAGUUUAAAACAAGGAAAGUUGGAGACAUCAACCAAGAAGGGAAAUUGUAAGUUUUUCUUCCUAAGGAGACUGUAAAAAGACAGUUCAAAGAGGAAUACCUUACACAGUUUCUCAGUGCAUCAGCCGCACCAUGCCCUGCCCAGAGUGGCCUGCAGGCCUCCAAGGUAAUUUUGAAGUCCAAAAUUGAAGGCAAACACAUAUUUGGCCUGGCUGGAAACUGAAGUUCUCAUGAAAAACAUGCACUUCUGCAUUCUUAUGGCCUUUCUAUAAGUACCCACCUCUACCUAAGCUGCCACCUUGGCCCAAGUUGCCAUCCUUUCCCCAAAAAUCACCCAUGGUUUAAGCCCUUGCCCAAGGUUCAUCCUCAAACAAACACUGGUCUACAAGAAACCACUUCCACUACCAGUGUACAAGAAGCCACUACCACCAGCAGCAAUAAUAUACAAGAAGCCCCUUCCACCACAUUUCAGUUUAUAAGAAACCACUUUCACUGUCUGUUCCAGUUCAUAAGAAACCACUUUCAUCACCUGUUCCAAUUCAUAAGAAAACACCUUCACCACCUGUUAUGGUUCAUAAGAAAUCACAUCCUCCUGCAAAGCCAGUAUUCAAGAAGCCCUGGCCACCUCCUGUCCCUGUUGUUAAGAAGCCACUUCCAUCUUCUGUUCCCAUAUACAAGAAGCCACUUUCCUUUCCCCUUCCAAUUCACAAACCAAUACCAGCUUUCUAUAAACCUCUUCCUCCACUCCCCCCAGUUUAUAUGAAGCCAUUUUCUUCCUAAACCUCUCUAACCCUAUAUUUGAUUAAAUAUAUUCCAAAUCGUUGAAUGAAGACUGAGUAGCUAGGGAAAAUUGACUUAAGGAAAUUUAUAGUUAAAAUCCUAGAAUUUUCAAAAACCCAAUUUUAGAAUUCAGAGAGUGAGCAAUCCAAAGAUCUGAAGUUUAGGAUCAAAUCUAUCCUUAAGACAAAUUUGCAUUUGAAACCUAGUUUUAUCCUUUCCUGUUCUGAUCACUAAAUCAAAUACAUAAAUCAAUUAGGCUUUUGGUUCAUAUGUCAAACCUGCCAUCUAUCUUGUAGAUUCAGGUUUCAAAUAGAUCAUAGUAGAUUUGAUUGACUAGUGAUCAAGGAAUUACUAAACAUCACUAGCAACCUAAUAGAUAUCUACCGUAUUGUAUUCUAAUCCAAAGGAUACAGAGAAUUUAUUCUGUCCAUUAAAUCAAACGUAAACCCUAAUCCUUUUAUUUAACUUUAUGGCACUCAUUGCUCCUCCUUGUCCUGCUCUUCUAUCUUCAUGCUAUAAUUCCAGAUGGAAAGGUCUUAGCUUCUAAUAGUCAGGUUUUCACUCACAGAAACUAUAAGAAAACAAAGAUCUAUAUGUAUUGCAAAAUGAGAAGUAAAGAGCAAAUUUCAGAAGUAUCAAGGAUAAUAGUAUAAUAUCUUUCUCUGUAUCUCUAAUUUUUUCAACCCUAAAAAAGGUAGUGAGUGCCCCAUGUCGUGUCUACGUGAUUUACCAUCUCUAGAAGUGCAUAUUUGGGAACCAAUCAGACCUGUAUGGAUUGUUCUGGUUGUUUCACUGUGACUUUUGGACCUGGUGGAUGUUCUGAGUUAAUAUGCCUGGACCUAUCCAAAUGAUGGUACAUCUAACUUUCAUUUAUACAAAUAUGAACCCCCAAGUCAAAGUAAUGGAUCAAGACUGCAUAACCAAUUUCUAUAUAUGCAAAGAAUUUCAGAUGGAAAACUAGGGAAAAUGGGAGGGAAGCAACCAAUCAUUUCUUUCUUUUUCCUUCAUUACUGGUUUGAUUUUAUCAGAUAUGACUGCUUUCUACUCCCCCAAGUAUGAAUGCCCAUUUCCUCUCUCCAAAAUCCAUCCACCCUCCUUCUCCCCUUUUGUUUUAGCAUGAAUUAGGCCUCAUAUCUCUAGCAUGGCAAAACCAUACAUGCAGGAAAUUUCAGGUAUAAAACUCUCCAGAGUGCUGAUCCCUGAUCCCAGGUUCUGCUUUUGAUCAGUAACCUAAUUCACUGCAUGAAAACCAUCAUCCUGAAUGACAUAAAUAUUUGAUUAGUCAGAAAAAUUCACCACCUUUUGUUGUACAAGAGAAUAAUGAAGAGGUUUGGUGGAGUAGAACCAAUAAAUGACCACAUUUUAUCUUGGUGAGAUAGUUGGGCAUUUAUUUUCUGCCACCCCUAUCCACGAAAGAUCCUUCUCGAUCAGAAAAUUAGCUAAUAUAACCAAGGCCAAAGUCUUGUUUUAUCUGCAGCAAAAUAAGCAAUCUUCAACAGGGGCAUAAACUACUAUUAGCAUCCUGAUUGGUCUCAAUUGGGUUCAUAUACUAGUAUAAGCCUCUUAGCUACAAGGGUAAGGUAGAUGUGAGCUUGAUCUUUCUGUUCAUUACCCUAUUAAUAUUUUUACAAUGAUUUUGAAAAACCCUCAUUAAUUUGCAUUCAUGACACCUUUGUGGCUAAAAUAAAUAAUCAGAUAGGAAACAGCAAAUGAAAAGAAUUAGAAUGGACUUAUCUUCACUACAAAAGUGGCACUUGAAAGGUGUUAUCCAAAGCAGUCCCACAAAGAUGCCUGGUGGUUUGGAGGCAGGUGAACCAUAAUAACAACAUGCAUGUGUAAACAAAUUAUGCAUUCAUGAAGGUCAGAAUUGGUGUUGUGAUCGAUCUUGUAGGGCUUAAGUUUUGAUUUUUGUGGCAUUUUGGGAAACCCAGUUUUGGCAUUUAUCGGCCAACCCAGGUCUCCAUUUCUGUUUAUGUAAUGAUCUUAUUUAUUUAUUUAUUUGUUUGUUUAUUUCUAUGGACUGGCUUUAUUCCUGUGCUCAAACUUAAGGUGUCCCUGGUUUAGGGUGAAUUGGGUUUAAAAAUGUAGUCUAUUACAUAUAGUUGCAUAUUAGUUUUAGAAGCAAAAAUUUCCUAGAUGUAGUCUUUGCUAUAGCUACUAGCAGUUCUGAAUAUAUUUUUCUUGUGGAGGUCUUCUAAUAAUCUGCAUUAAGUGCUUUUACCUAAGUUUUCAAUAAAUUUCUCCUUCAAAAUGGAAAGAUUAUCUAAAUCAUUGUUGAGAAAAAAAAAACCCAGAUAAUUAUCUGGGUUAAAGUUUGGAUUUCUCUACUCUUUUUCUCACCUUUCUGAGCAACUAAAUAUUUGGAUUUAGAUCAUAACUCAUAUGAGUCUUUGAAUUUGUGCUUAGUGACCUGACCAAGCCUCCUACGAUGAGUGCAAUCAAUUCAACUGAUUUGAUCCUAGCCCAAGCUCAAUCCAAGUUGGAAAAUUUGAAUUAGAGGUUUUUGUUGUAUCAAACUUGGGGUAUGGGACCUAAAUGAUAAGGUUGGAUUGCUAGGAAGAGUUUUACUAGAGCAUGGGCAUUUCAGCAACUCAACCUACUAUUUUCAUUGAAGCAGAGUUUUAUGAGUGCUUGGUGAGUAGGUUUACUGAUACAAGAACACCAAAAUGCAGCUGCCAAGUGGACGGUUCAUUCAAUGAGGUUAAUGCUAUUUGAUGUACAAACUUAGUAGGCUUUGUCACAGUCUUUUCUUUCCCUGCAAACACAAACCUUCUCAAUUCAUCUAGAGCUCCAUGUGAUGCUUUUAAAGAGAUGUCAGUAAGCCUCCAAAACCGGUUAUUUACUAUCAUUAUAUAACAAGUGUAGGACUCAAGUCACUCAAGGUCUGUAUCAAACAACAGAAGCUUGUAAAGCUUGUAGCCUCUCAACUAAGAUUUUGCCAUUGUCUUCUCUUAUUGUGAGCCAUAAGGGGCAGGGUUCCCAAUGCAGGUUCUUCCCAUAUUUCAAUGGGCAGGUCUAGGCUUCUUUAUAUCCCUGCUGUUUGCUGUGAGCUUCUGCCAUGGCAACAACCAGGAAGUCAUGGUCGUUGGGACAGGAGAAUGUGCAGACUGUGAUCACAGUAACAUUAAGACUAGCCAAGCAUUUUCAGGUAGUCAGUCAUCUUUUUACUACCUACUCAAUUGGGCUUCUCUUACUGUCUAGUUUCACGUCAGAUUUUUUCUAUAAUGCCAUGAUCUGAAUAAACAACUAAUGCUGAAGAUCAUAACAGUGAACUUGUGGAUUAUUUUGUGCAGGCCUCGGUGUAACCAUUGAAUGCAAGCUAGAAAGCGGGGAGUUCAAAACAAGGGCAGUUGGAGAGCUUGAUGAAGAAGGGGAGUUCAAACUUCCUCUUCCUAAGGAGAUAGUAAAAGGUGGAAAGUUGAAGGAGGAAUGCUUUGCACAGCUUCACAGUGCCUCGGCAAAACCUUGCCCAAUCAGAAAUGGCCCAGAGGCUUCCAAGAUAAUUUUGAAGACCACAAACAAUGGCAAACAGGUGUUUGCCCCGGCUGGGAAACUAAAAUUCUCGCCAGUGACAUGCACUUCAGCCUUCUUAUGGCCUUUCUACAAGUACCCGCCUCUUCCCACACUUCCACAUUGGCCCAAGCCUCUGCCCAAGUUCUACCUUCCACCUUUCUCUCCAGUCCCUACUCCAAUUACAUACCCUGCACCAGAAGCUGAUCCUCCAGUCUCUCAUCCCCCACCCCCACCAGUCUAUAAACAACAAAUUCCACCAAGUGUGCCACCAUACACAGCCCCAUCUCCACCUCAAGUCUAUGAUCAACCAAGUCCACAACCAGUAUACUACGAGCCACAUCCACCACCAGUGCCCAUAUACCAUAAGCCCCUUCCUCCACCAGUACGAGUGUAUGGACAACCAUUUCCAUCGCCAGUGCCAGUAUACAAGAAGCCACUUCCACCGCCAGUGCCCAUAUACAAGAAGCCGCCUCUUCCAUCACUUCCACCACCUGUGCCAGUUCAUAAGAAGUCACUUCCUCCACCAGUUCCAGUAUAUGAAACGCCUUAUCCACCUCCUUUUCCUGAGCAACCGCUUCCACCACCAGUACCAAUAUACAAGAAACCACCACUUCCACCACCAGUUCCAGUUUCUCAGGAGCCACUCCCACCACCUAGUCCAGUGUAUAAUGAACCACUUCCUCCUUCUCCAGUUCCAGUUCUCAAGAAGCCUAUUCCACCUAUUGUUGAGAAACCACUGCCACCACCUGUGCCAAUAUUCAAGAAGCCAGCACUUCCACCCCCGGUUCCUGUCUACAAGAAGCCGCCACUUCCCCCACCUCCACCACCUGUUCCAGUCUAUGGGGAACCAUUGCCUCCUCCAGUUCCAGCCUUCAAGAAGCCAUAUCCACCGCCUCUUCCGAUAGUAGAGAAGCCACUUCCACCUCCAAUUCCAAUUCACAAACCAAUUCCUCCAAUCUCCAAGCCUGCCCCAACUCCAGAGGUCCUUCCUGCUCCACCUCCAAUUUACAGUCCAAAACCUCCAAUCCUCAACCCUACUCCAAAGCCAAAAGUCCUACCACCACCACAGCCAGUACCCAUAACCAAAAAGCCACUUCCACCACCUGUUCCCAUUCAAAAACCAGUACCAGCAGCCCAAAAUCCUCCUCCAGUUUACAAGAAGCCACUUCCACCCAUUCCCAAAGCCCCCGCUCUUCCUAAGCUUCCUCCUCUGCCCAAAACUCCUCCGAAGUACUUCUACCACCCAAAGUAUGGACUGGGUAACGCCAAACCACCUAGUUCAUCUCAUCCGUAGGUCACCAUAGUGUCCUUCCCAGGUGUAAUUAGGAAUAAACAAUGGUUCUGCAAUAAAUUAAGCAUCCAUCGCAGAUAAAAAAACAGUCAAAAGAACAAGAAAAAUGGAUGUGGGUGUGUGUCGAUUCUUUUUUUUUUUUUUUUUUUUACUUGAUUGUGCCUUUACAUUAGACAGUGACUAAAUCUUCAAGGCCUGUAACCCAUCUGUGAUGGGUAAUUAUGGAGGCUGAUGAAGCAACCAUUGGUUUCAUUUUCUUGUCUGCUGAUUCAAUCUCUUGAAUUCAAACUGCUAUCUAGUUUACAAUGCACACAUAUGAUUAAAUCUCCAAUUUUUCUUAAACCUUUCUGCCAACAAAGAUUGUGACUUCAAGAGUGGACCACUAAACCCAUAGGAAAACUAUAGCUACUUCAGAACCCGUUCAUAUGUAUUAGACCAUAAAAGAACAUAUGAUAAAGUCAACGAAAGUUGAAACCCUAUCUUUCUCUUUGAUUUCUAAAGUGGUGAAAGGUGUGUUUAAAAGAUUUUACGCCUACAAAUUCAUUGGAAUUGCCUGUGUUAUUAGUGAAUAAAAGUGGUGGGGUGUUACAUUGGUACUUCUAACUAACAAAACCACAUCAAUGGUUUUUAGUUUUCAGAGUAAUAGAUCUUUAGUAGAUUCUAUUUGAAAUUUUAAAUUUAUUAAAAAAAACAAUAAUUUCCAUCCGACCUACCGGAUUCGAACCAGUGACCUAAGGAUUACUAUAAGGUUAAACCCACUACAGUCCUCCGCUCUACCAACUGAGCUAAGGUCGGAUUGAUUAAUAAGCCUAUAAUUAAUAUAUAAACGUAUUAACUAAAAUAAAUAACUAUAACCUUUUGUACAACCUUAUGUUUUUAUCUAAACGUUUUUAUGCACACAUACGAUUGAAUCUCUAAUUUUCAUCAAACCUUUAUAGCAACUAAGAUUGUGAAUAUGAGUGCCACUAGACUCAUAUGAAAAUACUAGCUUCUUUAGAACCCAAUUCAUAUUAAAACAUAUGAUAAAAUCAAAGAAACUUGAAACCUUAUUUGUCUAUUUGAUUCCUUAAGUGGUGGAAGUUGUGUUUUAAAGAUUUUAGGUCUACAGGUUCACUGGAACUUCCUAUGUUACAAGUGAAUAAAAGUAGUGGGAUGUUACAUUGGUGAUACCCAACCAACCAAACUACAUGGAUCAAAUUAUGUUAUUAUUGAAUAAAAAUGGUGGUUGUUGAUCGCAAAUCUCUAUUGUAAAUAAAAUACUAAAACCUAAAUACAUGAUAACUCUGACCAAGAAAAAACCAAAAAUAGAGUUACCACAACUUUGUAGUAUUCCGGGUUGUCGUCCUCUAGGAUUAGUUGUAAUACUUUUAUUUGUUCUUAGAUUCAAAAGAUUAAUUAUUUAUUAAAGGUAAAAAAUAUCUAAUUCAAAUAAAUCAAAAUAAAACAUGGAAGAAAAAUUUCCUAAAUAAACCUAUUGAAAUUAUAAAAUAAUUAUUGAUUUUUACUUCAAUUAAUUAAUCAAGAUUGGGGUUCCACAAUCCAACAUCAAGUAUAAACUUUUAGGCAAAACAAGGCUAUAUAAUUUAAUAAUCUUAGGGUAAUCAAAAUGCAUGGUUUAACGAGAUCAACCUGAGUUAUACACCUCAGAGUUGAUCUAUAUCCUAACUUUUAAUAUUUUAUUUCAUUAAAUUACCUAAUAGAUGAAUGAACAUGAAAUCUAAGUUUAGGUCUAAGGUUUUUAGGUUUUUACCACUCUAUGUAGAUUUGCCUUAGGGUAGAUAACAAUGACAAAACCUUUGAUAACUAGAGAUCAAGAAUUACCAAGAAUCCUUAGUAUCAAGAAAUAUGGGAUUGUAUCAUUUCCUAAGUCAAACUAACUUUAGAGAGUAUUUUGAUUUUAAUAUUAGUGCUCUAACCUUUCAUUCAUUCUAUUAUUAAUUCGAUUUCACCCAUUGUUUCCCUUUGGAUCUAACCCUAAGUUUUCAUGUUUCACCCCAAGAUGACUUUUUAGCCUCUUAUGGGCAUGUCCUCACAUAUAUAGGCCAUAAAAGAAUAAGAAAGAAUCAUUCUUGAUUUCAAAAAAAUUAAAAACAAUAAUUUAUUCAAUAAUAAAAAGAAGAAAGAAAACAUACCAAGAAAAACCUUCAAGGUCUUCUUCUAUUUCCCUAUGAUCGUCAAGUCAUCUCUACUCCUAUAAAAAAAAAAAAAAAAAAAUCAAGAACUCCCUAGAAAACCUAAAUAUUGAGUUUUUAUAGUUUCCUCCAAAAAACUUAACAUGUGGCAUGUUCCUAUUAACCACUUAUUUUACAAAUAAUUACCUAAAAUGACUAAAAAUAAUAAAAUCGUGAUUUCUAGUCGUGUGGGGCCCACUCAGGGCGGAUGAAGUGCCCAAGAUGCAAUUCCCAAAGUAGAUGAGACGAAAUGUCAAUGUGGCAAUGUGUGAAUCUGAAAUUGGGGUCAUUUCAAAUUGGAUUUUUAAUUCAUGAGUUGAAUUUCAAAAUCAUUUCGAAAUAAUCUUUCAACUCUGCAUAGUUAUCUUCAAAUAAUCAUAACUUCUUUGUUUUUGCUCCGAUUUGUACACCAUUUAAAGCGUUGGAUCUGACUUUUAGAGUUUCGAAACGAUAUAUAGAUUGCCUAAAAUGGACUUCAGAAAGUGCUCCAAUUUUUAUUUCAAAGUUGGAGUACAUAUUUCCACCAUAUUUUGCAUUCCAAAUUCCCAUUCAACUUGAUGAAAUUGCUUCAUGCCUCGUUAUCCAUGUUCGCUUGCCUUUCCUCAUAGUCCAUGAGUCUUGACAUGUCCAUUUCCUCAUUUAAACAUUAUCUUAAUCUUUUAAAUUCUAAAGUGAUUCAACUUACACUUUUUUCCUUCCUUAAACCUUAGAUAAAUCUUUAAAAUGCAAGUUAAACUCAUGACUAAGGCAUUAACAACAAUUUUGAUCAAGUUGGAUGAUUUGAGUGUCUUAUGGUACAUAAAUCAUAUCGAAUACGUGUCAUUAGAGUACAUAUUUUGGCUCCAAUAAGUUGUUACAUUGGUAAUGCUCAACCGAUAAAACUACAUCAAUGGUUUGAUCUCACUCAUGUGAAUUAAGCCAUGUUUUCAUAUACAAUUCUUAAAAAGUGGUUUUUCAUAAAAAGCCCUUAGAAUAUUCUAUUUGAAAACUUAAAUAUAUAAUAAGUCCUUGGAAUAUUCUAUUCGAAAUUUUAAAUAUAAAAAAACAACAAUUUCCUUGCGACCUAUUGGAUUCGAACUAGUUACCUUAGGAUUAUAAUUAAGUUAAGCCCACUAUAGUCCUCCACUCUACCAACUGAGCUGAGGUCAGAUUGAUUAAUAAACCUAUAAUACUAAGGUGGUGUUUGUUUUUUUACUUAAUUCUAAAUAGAACCUUAAUGCUUAAUAGUGUUAAAUAUUAGAUUGUUUGUUUUUGUAGUAUUUUAUUUCUAUUAAGUAUUAAAAAGUAAAAAAAACCAAUAUGUUAUUUUUUCUAUUUAGAAAAAGCUACAUAUUUUGGCUUUUUCUAUUUAGUAAAAAGUUUAUAAUAAGUCAUGAAAAAGUAGAAAAACAAAUAACCUAAAUUCUAAAAUUAAAUUGCUUUCAGCAAAAAGCCAAAAAAACAAACACCACCUAAGAGUAUGUUUGACAGUGAUUCUAAGAAGUGUUUCUAACAUCUUUAAUAUUUGAAAUAUAAAAAUUUUCAAGUGUUAGAAAGAUUAUAAACAUUUCCUAAAAUCAUUGCCAAACACACUGUAACUCUUUUAGAACUCAGUUAUGAAGUUUGACUAAAUACUUCAUUAAAGAAAAUUAACUAUGCUCUAGCAUGCUAUGACUUAUUCAUCCUGAUGGUUUCAUACAUUUAUGUAUAAUACAAAAGUUUUCAAAACAUUAUCUAUAUUUUCAAUCAUUGAUUAUAGCAUUAAAAAAAAAAUCAAUUGAAAACAUCUAAAAUUUAUUCUAAAAUAUAGCAUAUUUUCAUAACAAAAUUUCAAAAUAAUUAUAUUCUAUCAAAAGUUUGUCAAAACAUAUUUUAUGUUUUAAAGAGCAUAAAACUGCUUCUAAGAAUGGUUUUCAAAAGGGGAUUCAUAUACCCAAUUCAUCCAAAAGUUUUAAAGUAUUAGGUGGUGUUUGUUUUUUGACUGAAUAGAAAAAACCAAAAUAUUUGGCUUUUUCUAUUCAGCUAAAAGCAACUUACUGACAUCGUCCAACAUAACUAAAUUGAACCUAUUAAUAACAAGUUCAUUUUAGUUGUGUUGGACGAUGUCAACAUGUUACUUUUAGUUGAUAGAAAAAAAAAAAUAUUUUGGCUUUUUCUAUUCAGUUAAACAACAAAUACCACCUUAGAUAAUAGAUAAAUAAUGUGUACAGAGUCUAGCGGCUGAAAUCUUACUAAUUAGAGGAAACGCCAAGGAAAAUACUUAAAAUACUAUUGAUCCAAACUACUUUCAUCUUGGUUUACAUAUCAUGCAGUCCUUUGAGGCUUUCCAACUGUAACAAACAUCAACAAUGAAGCAUUACUGAGAGUUUUAUGGGUGUUGGUAAGUAGGUUGAUAGAUAAAGGAGAUCACCAAAGAUGCAGCUGUGCAUUGGAGAGCUUAUUCAAUGUAGUUUAUGGCAUUUUGAUCAACAAAACAGUUGAGCUCUAUUACAGUCUUAAUUUCUUACCCCUCUAGCAUAAAUCACCUAAUUAAACCGAUCCUUAACCUCACAUGGAGCUCUUAAAUGUGGCGUCGGUGAGCCUCCUAAACUGCCUCCUCAUGAUCAUUAUAUAACAGGGUCUGAAGGACUCUAGUCACUCAAGCCUUCGAUCAAACUAUAAAAGCUUGUAGCUUCCCAAAUCCCUUAACCUUGCCUUUGUUUUCUCAUUUUCUUUGUGAAGCAUAGGGGGAGGUUUAAUUUUCUGUUUUCCUAAUGGGAUCACCUCCCAUUUGUGGAGGAACACUUCUGGGCUUCUGGGUGUUCCUGCUUUUUUCUGUGAUCUUCUGCUAUGGCAGUGCUGAUCAAUUUGAGGUAGUUGGAGUUGUAGAAUGUGCAGACUGUUCUGAGAGUCGUAUUAAGGCUAGCCCAGCCUUUUCAGGUAUGUUGGUUUUUCAGUAUUGGCAUCAUAGAAACAAGAUCACAAGACCAUUGAUUAAUUAAUAUCCAUUACUCUUGAGCAGGGCUUGGUGUGACCAUUGACUGCAAGCUAGCAAAUGGAGAGUUCAAAACAAGGGCAGUUGGAGAUGUCAGCAAUGAAGGAAAAUUCAAGGUGUCUCUCCCUGAGGAGAUGGUGAAGGAUGGAUAUCAGUUGAAAGAAGAAUGCUUUGCACAGCUUCACAGUGCCUCAGCAGCACCAUGUCCUGAUGCACAGAGCGGCCUAGAGGCCUCCAAGAUAGUCUUGAAGGCGAAAACUAUUGGGAAGAAAAACGUAUUUGGCCCAAUCGCAAAUCUAAAAUUCUCUUCUCUAACUUGCACUUCAGCCCUUUGGUGGUCUUUCUACAAGCAUCCUCCCCUGCCCAAGCUGCCACUGCCCUUUCCCAAGGCCUAUCCUCCACCUUGGAAGAAAUUUGGCCAUGUCUACAAGAAGCCACUUCCACCAUCAAUACCAAUAUACAAAAAGCCCCUCCCAUCUCCAGUCCACAAGAAGCUGCUUCCACCCAAGGUACUCAUACACAAGAAGCCUCUUCCACCAAAAGUACUGAAACCCAAUAAGCCAUUCCCACCACCUUCGCCAGUUUACAAGAAGCCUUUUCCUCCAUCUGUACCAGUUUUUAAGAAACCAAUCCCACCACCUGUUCCAGUGUACAAAAGACUUCCUCCGCCCCCUGCGCCCGUUUAUCAGAAACGGUUGCCGCCACCAGUUCCGGUGUUCAAGAAGCCUUGUCCACCGCCUGUUCCCAUAGCUAAGAAGUUGCUUCCACCCCAUGUCCCCAUAUACAAAAAGCCGCUUCUGCCUCCCACUCCAAUCUACAAUAAGCCAAAUCCACCACCAUUCUAUAAAUGGUCAAUUCACAAGCCAAUACCACCAGUCUACAAACUUCUUCCUCCAAUCCCUCCACUUUACAAGAAGCCAUGUCCACCCAUUCUUAAGCCUCCUCAUUAUCUUCCUAAGCUUCCUCCAAAGCUCUUUCCCUUCCCCAAGUUCGGACCCUAUCCUCCUAUACAACCUUAUUUCCCUCAUCCUUAAGCUGCCAUACUAGCUUCCUAAGCACAAUGCCUUCAUGGUAGACAGAGAAAUCCAUUGAAAAAACAUGGGUCAAAAUGAAUUGAAUUGAGCGUAUUCUUGAGAGUUGUCAGUGAUCUGUUUUCGUAAAUUUUAUGUGUAAACAAUUUCAGAUGGAGAAGUAUGGAAAAUAAGAAGGAAGCAAGCAUUCAUUUCAUUUUAUGUUCUACUGGUUCGAUUUUUUUUCCAUGACUGUUAUACUCCCUGGUUUGAACUCUCCCAUCACCCUCAAAGGCUUUUGUGGACUAGAAAUCAGAGGAUGAAUGAACUCAAUUCAAGUUAGGCUAGGCGAGAAACUCGGGCCUUAGCUGAACCAUAACCUACAUAAUUUAUAUUGUUAAAAGCUGGCUGGGAAUAAUUUCGAGGCUUGCUAUAAGCUCUUUUUAAUGUUUGAAAGCUUUAAAAAAAAUGUAUAAGUAAUGAAUAAAUUUAAAAAAAAUCAUUUUUAAAGAAUUAUUUAAAGUGAUUCUUUAACAAGUCAUUGUAAGUGAUUCUUCUAAUUUGGAUAUACUUCUUAUUGUUUGUUUUUAGCACACAUACCAUAUAGUAUAAAAAAUAGAGCUCUAUCCGGCAUUGUAUUGAUAAAAAUGGCAUGAUUAAGGGAAAAAGAAAAAAAGAAACAUUAUCGUUCUUUUAUGAUUCACACUUAAAUAGAAAAAUGAAGAAACAUAAAUGUUGUCCGGUAUCAAUAAUAGGGUUAUAACAGAGUAAAUAAAAGAGGUUGCUUUGAACUCAAGGAAGAGCAAGUCAAUUAACAUUGUUUUAAUUCCCUCGUUUCAACCUUGAUUAAGCCACUAAAAAUCAACUAGUGAUUCAUAUGCAUGUUCUUUAUCGGUCAAUUGAGAAAUAAAUAUUUCUAAACUUCAAACAUAUUACUAUAAAAAUAACUUAGAGAAUUUGAAUUGUUAGUAAAAGACUAAAGUUAUAGUCCAAAUUACCUAGAUGUAUAUGGUUAACCUAAUGAUCCAAUUAAAGCAUAUGACAAAUUCAAAGAAAGUUAAACUUCACCCCCAUCUUAAUUCGAUAAUAUAAUUUUUUUUUAAAAAGAAAAAGAAAAUGAGAAAUUAAUCCAAUAAUGCCUAUAAAUGAGUUGGAAAGGUGUUUCCCCACGUAGGAGGUGGAAGGUGUAUCUUAAAGAUUUUAGGCCUACAACCUCAUUUAAAAGUAUAUAUAAGUACUAUUAGUGAAGAAAGUGGUGGGGUGUGACAUUGGUAAUGUCCAAUUGACCACAUCGGUGAGGCUUUUAUCUCAUGAUUUCUUAUAUAAACUAAAAUCCUUAAGACAAUAUGGUAAAAAAAAAAAAAAUUUAAGUUGUUAGGUAAUGGGUCAAUAAUUUAUAUUAAGUUGGAUUGAUCUAAAACAUUAUUGAUUUCAAGGAAAAAGAAGGGAAAAAUACUUGAAAUACUAGUGAUCCAAACGACUUUCAUCUUGGUUUCCAUAUUAUGGCUUCCUUUCAAGCUUUCCCAAUGUAACGUAAAGAUCAACAAUGAAACAUUACUCAUAGUUUUACAAGAAGCAUGAGCUUUUCAGAAAUUCAACCUACAUCUUUACAGAAGCAAGGUUGUAUGGGUGAAUUGGUAAGUAGGUUCACAGAUAAAGAGAUCACCAAAGAUGCAGCUGUGCAUUGGAGAGCUCAUUCAAUGUAGUUUAUGGCAUUUUGAUCAACAAAACAGUUGAGCCCUAUUGCAGUCUUAAUUUCUUCCCCCCCAAGAUUAAAUCACCCAAUUAAACUGAUCCUUAGCCUCACAUGGAGCUCUUAAAUGUGGCGUAGGCAAGCCUCCUAAACUGCCUCCUCGCGAUCAUUAUAUAACAGGGUCUGAAGGACUCUAGUCACUCAAGCCUUGAAUCAGACCAUAGAAGCUUGUAGCUUCACAACUCCUGAACCUUGGCUUUAUUUUCUCACUUUCCUUGGGAAGCAUAGAGGGGAGGUUUAAUUUUCGAUUUUCCUGAUGGGAUCACUUCACAUCUGUGAAGGAUCACACCUGGGCUUCUGGGUGUUCUUGCUUUUUUCUGUGAGCUUCUGCUAUGGCAAUGCUGAUCAAGUUCAGGUAGUUGGAAUUGUAGAAUGUGCAGACUGUUCUGAGAGUCAUAUUAAGGCUAGCCAAGCCUUUUCAGGUAUGUUGGCUUUUCAGUAUUUGCAUCAUAGAAACAAGAUCACAAGACCAUUAAUUGAUUAAUAGCCGUUACUCUUGAGCAGGACUUGGUGUGACCAUUGACUGCAAGCUAGCAAAUGGAGAGUUCAAAACAAGGGCAUUUGGAGUGGUCAGCAAUGAAGGAAAAUUCAAGGUGUCUCUCCCUGAGGAGAUGGUGAAGGAUGGAUAUCAGUUGAAAGAAGAAUGCUUUGCACAGCUUCACAGUGCCUCAGCAGCACCAUGUUCUGAUGCACAGAGCGGCCUAAAGGCCUCCAAGAUUGUCUUGAAGGCGAAAACUAUUGGGAAGAAAAACGACUUUGGCCCAAUCGAAAAUCUAAAAUUCUCUUCUCUAACUUGCACUUCAGCCCUUUGGUGGUCUUUCUACAAGCAUCCUCCCCUGCCCAAGCUGCCACUGCCCUUCCCCAAGGCCUAUCCUCCACCUUGGAAGAAAUUUGGCCAUGUCUACAAGAAACCACUUCCACCAUCAAUACCAAUAUACAAAAAGCCCCUCCCAUCUCCAGUCCACAAGAAGCUGCUUCCACCCAAGGUACUCAUACACAAGAAGCCUCUUCCACCAAAAGUACUGAAACCCAAUAAGCCAUUCCCACCACCUUCGCCAGUUUACAAGAAGCCUUUUCCUCCAUCUGUACCGGUUUUUAAGAAACCAAUCCCACCACCUGUUCCAGUAUACAAGAGACUUCCUCCGCCCCCUACGCCCGUUUAUCAGAAACGGUUGCCACCACCAGUUCCGGUGUUCCAGAAGCCUUGUCCACCGCCUGUUCCCAUAGCUAAGAAGUUGCUUCCACCCCAUGUCCCCAUAUACAAAAAGCCGCUUCUGCCUCCCACUCCAAUCUACAAUAAGCCAAAUCCACCACCAUUCUAUAAAUGGUCAAUUCACAAGAUAAUACCAC